RNAcentral lists this transfer RNA (71 nucleotides) under Marmota monax (woodchuck). RNAcentral's name for it is "tRNA.Ala". It matches the Rfam family "tRNA". From Rfam's summary of the family: Transfer RNA (tRNA) molecules are approximately 80 nucleotides in length. Their secondary structure includes four short double-helical elements and three loops (D, anti-codon, and T loops). Further hydrogen bonds mediate the characteristic L-shaped molecular structure. tRNAs have two regions of fundamental functional importance: the anti-codon, which is responsible for specific mRNA codon recognition, and the 3' end, to which the tRNAs corresponding amino acid is attached (by aminoacyl-tRNA synthetases). tRNAs cope with the degeneracy of the genetic code in two manners: having more than one tRNA (with a specific anti-codon) for a particular amino acid; and 'wobble' base-pairing, i.e. permitting non-standard base-pairing at the 3rd anti-codon position. Lineage: Eukaryota; Metazoa; Chordata; Mammalia; Rodentia; Sciuridae. The record is from RNAcentral.
GGGGUUAUGGCUCAGCAGUAGAGCACUCGCCUAGCAUGUGUGAGGUCCUGGGUUCAAUCCUCAGUACCACA